This 1135-nucleotide unclassified non-coding RNA is filed under the name Hevea brasiliensis (rubber tree). The record is from RNAcentral. Lineage: Eukaryota; Viridiplantae; Streptophyta; Magnoliopsida; Malpighiales; Euphorbiaceae.
UGCAAUCCUUUUCAUUAGAAGAUCAAACUCAAAACAGUCAAAUAAUCAAUGGAUUGGUUGUUUCUUUACAAGAAAAUUUCCCCCAAAAAAAAUGUAAUAAUUAGCCCAAAAAUCAGAAUGCUAGAAAAACAAUUACUGAAAAAAAAUGGAGAAAAUGGACAAUUGGGUCGAGGAAUGACAAAAAUUAAUUCCAAGACACAUGUACAAAAUUUCAAACAGGGAGAGAACAAAGAUCUUCCAAGACUUGUCUGAUGUUAGGUCUCUCAUUUACAGGGAGAAUACACCUUAGCGAUAAAGCAAGCAAAUCAUCCAUUGCUUUCGAGGGUUCUUCUCCACCUGCAAGAUCUCUGUCAAUACAGUCCAUCCGUCUACCUUCUUGAUCACACAGCCGAACCCAAUCUGUAAGAUCAACUGCUCCUGAUUGUCCUGAUAUUAUGUCACCAGCACUUCUUCUGGUUAACAAUUCCAUCAAGAUCACUCCAAAUGCAUACACAUCAGCCUUGAAUGAAGGGACCGUUUUAGAUGCACUUGAGAGUUCUGGAGCACAGUAUCCCAGUGCUCCCAGAUUCAAAAUCUGCUCUGCAAGGCCAGCAGGCGUCAUCAAGCGGUGAAGACCAUAAUCGGUAAGACGAACAUUAUAAUCAGGACCUUCCAGAAGUAUAUUUGUUGGCUUCAAAUUCCCAUGAAGCAUGCCUCUAUCAUGAAUGUACAACAGAGACCGAGCAACAUCAGCAGCAACUUUUAGUCUUUGGUUGAAUGAUAACAGCGAGUACCUCCGAGGUGUUGUCUCAUAGAGAUGUAGGGCCAAGCUGUCUCCAUGAAUAUAGUCUGCUAGAAGAAGUCUCUCCUGCUCUCUAGGGCCCCAAUAAUAAGCUCGCAAUGGAACAAUAUUUGGAUGCUUUAUAGAUCCUAUUCUUUUAACUUCCUUAGCAAAUUCUUUCUUAUGUUUAACCAGUCCCACCCGCAACCACUUCACAGUCAACAUAUGUCCGCCAUCUAGAGUUGCUUUGUACAGAGUUCCAUGGCUGCUUCUGCCAAGAACUUCAGCUGGAGCUCGAGAUAACUCCUCAGCAGUAAAUGCUAGUGAAGUAUCAAGGAAGAAUAGUUCUCCAGCCAACCGAUCUGGUGAAUAGAC